AUCUGGCAGGCGCGGGACGACCCUGCAGAUCGGUCCGGUGGCGUGCACUGGAUCGAAGAUGCGAUCUGGCGAGAGCCGCCUCGACCCGGGAUUGAAGCGACGCGUCGGGAGAUUGUAGAGACGCGGCUGGAGCUCCUCCACGUGCGGGACGAGGGCCGGUACCAGCGGUGGGAAAGCUAGAUCGGAAAAAACACGAGUUGCGCGUGCAAAAAGAACCUAAGCUCUAAUACCAUGUUAGGAAAGCAACUUAUCUUCCCAUGAGGCCAUAGGCCGAUAUAUAUACAUGUACAGGUUAUGGACUAUAUGCAGGAAAACCUCUUAUAUAUUGGGAUAAAUACAAAAGGGUACAUGACUUGUAUUAUAACUCUAACAC
RNAcentral lists this long non-coding RNA (373 nucleotides) under Hordeum vulgare. RNAcentral describes it as "long non-coding RNA (HVUL_LNC015144)". Lineage: Eukaryota; Viridiplantae; Streptophyta; Magnoliopsida; Poales; Poaceae. The record is from RNAcentral.